Molecule: long non-coding RNA, 2044 nt
Filed under: Pelobates cultripes (western spadefoot toad)
Lineage: Eukaryota; Metazoa; Chordata; Amphibia; Anura; Pelobatidae
Source: RNAcentral
CAUAGAUUUUUUUUCCAGGGCUGUUUUGGAAUCCCCAGUCCGGCCCUGCAAUCCAAUGAACCUGAAAGCAAUUAAAUAACACAUAGUAGCCAUUUGGUGGAUGUAAUUAAGUCCAAAAAAGCAGAAAUAAAUUGGAGUUUUGACUUCAAACCAGACAAAUACAAUUCACGGUGCAGUGAAUAACCCUCCUUGCACAUGGUUCUGGAGACUGACAUUUGAUUUGAUACACACUGCCACUGGCAACAUUAAGUUCUGUAUUGUAUUGCAGUUGCUAAUGCCAUGCAUUUAUUUAGCAAUUUAAUUUUUUCUAAAUCGUUAUAGAGAAACAUACCAUUAUCAUUGGAAUUCAGACAAAUCAAAUGAACGUAUGAAUGAAAUUCUGUUCAUUGAUCAUAAAAUUCAGACAAAUUCAAUCUGAUAAACCGUUUUUUUACGGUUCAUACACCUAGGAAUGUUAUCUUAACCACUGCACAUAUUUUGGGGAAAUAGUAAAUACAUUUGUAGCAGCAACCUGGAUUGUUAGAGGACUCAUAGAUAUUCAUUUGUUGAACUAUUUUAAACUGUUUGACCUCGAGCAAAUCAGCCAGUGAUCUUUUUAACCAGUCGUUAGUUACUAAUAUAGACAUCAAGCGAGUUUAUUGUUGAAUCCUCAACUGCUUGUACAACAAUGCCAUCUCACAGUCAGCUACAUGUUUCAGCUUGAUAAACAGACAACUUGCUAUGCUUGUAACUGCAAGUCAUUUUUCUAGCCCUGCCUGAAUUCGACUGAGCCAAUAAGUGAAAGUUGCAGUAGGUCAAUUCACAACCAGCUAGCACUUAAAGGGACACUCCAGGCACCAGACUACUUCUGCCCAUUGGAGUGGUCUGGGUGCCAACUCCCACUACCCUUAACCCUGCAAGUGUAAUUAUUGCAGUUUCCAAUGACUGCAAUAUUUACCUUGCAGGGUUAAGUCCUCCUCUAGUGGCUGUCUACUAGAUAGCCACUAGAGGACACUUCCGUGUUCACGAAAAGUGUGUUAUAAUGUCGCUGGAUGUCCUCACGCUAUGUGUCCAGUGUCGCUGAAAUCCCCAUAGGAAAGCAUUGAAAGCAUUGCCGCACAUGCGCAUUAGGUCUCCCCUGCCGCCGGCCGUGCAUGCUCAAUAGGUCUCCCCCACCGGAUGACGUCGGUGGGGGAGGAGCAUGGGCGGACCCUGACCCAGCCCUGAGGCGCUGGAUACAGGUAAGUCACUGAAGGAGUUUUAACCCCUUCAGCAACAUGGGAUAGGGGGGUGGGAAGGAGAGGGGACUGGCAGUGCCAGGAAAACCCUGGCUUCAAAAUAUUUUUUAUUCAACAUCUGUGAACAUACGUUUUUGGAAGAGUGAACUCUCUGCAAUAUAUUUAUAAGCUACCUGUGCCUUCUAAAUAUAAAAUAUAUAUAGCAUAAGAUUUUUUGAAAUGGAAAAUAUUGAAAAGUUGAAUGCGUAUGUUUCCGUUUGUAAAUUAGCAUUUUCGGGUUUAUGAAAAAACACCAGGAAAAAGAUAGGUUUGUGGUCUAAUGUAAAAAACACCAGAUCAACCCAUACAGCUAGAUUGUAUAGUUUUUAUGGCACAUUCAUUAAGCAGUUGGGCUAUCAAGUGAUAUUUAUUUAAUGAGAGGUUCCCAAAUAUGUCAAGAACCGAAAUGCAAUGUAGCCUAUUGUAAAGGGACUCUAUAGCUGUAGGAAUACAAAUGUGUCCACCCUCCUUUUGCUAUAAAAAAACUGAAAGAAAGGUUUUCACUGAUGUUUACUCCAGUAUCAAGACUUCCUUGGCACUGACAUCCAUGCUUCCUUCCAUGACAUCAUUCGGCUCUCGCUCAUCGAUGAGCAUUGGAGACUGAUGUGCAUGUGCGGUGAGUGCUGUUCAAAGAAAUGCAUUGAAUUCAAUGCUUUCGUAUAGGCUGCACUGGUCACAUGACCGAGUUUUACACUUGUCCUUGUGGAAGCGCCUCUGGUGACUGUCUGGAAGGCAGUGUUUGACUACAUAAUGCAAACAGUGAGGGGUAUAAUUAUAGGAUAUGGGCA